This 497-nucleotide ribosomal RNA is filed under the name uncultured bacterium. RNAcentral describes it as "partial 16S ribosomal RNA". It matches the Rfam family "Bacterial small subunit ribosomal RNA", at positions 29 to 507 of the family's 1533-position model. The record is from RNAcentral.
UAUGAACGCUGGCGGCGUGCCUAAUACAUGCAAGUCGAGCGAACAGACGAGGAGCUUGCUCCUCUGACGUUAGCGGCGGACGGGUGAGUAACACGUGGAUAACCUACCUAUAAGACUGGGAUAACUUCGGGAAACCGGAGCUAAUACCGGAUAACAUGUUGAACCGCAUGGUUCAACAGUGAAAGACGGUUUUGCUGUCACUUAUAGAUGGAUCCGCGUCGCAUUAGCUAGUUGGUAAGGUAACGGCUUACCAAGGCAACGAUGCGUAGCCGACCUGAGAGGGUGAUCGGCCACACUGGAACUGAGACACGGUCCAGACUCCUACGGGAGGCAGCAGUAGGGAAUCUUCCGCAAUGGGCGAAAGCCUGACGGAGCAACGCCGCGUGAGUGAAGAAGGUCUUCGGAUCGUAAAACUCUGUUAUUAGGGAAGAACAAAUGUGUAAGUAACUAUGCACGUCUUGACGGUACCUAAUCAGAAAGCCACGGCUAACUACGUG